This 960-nucleotide long non-coding RNA is filed under the name Capra hircus (goat). RNAcentral's name for it is "lncRNA (ENSCHIG00000007796.1)". The record is from RNAcentral. Lineage: Eukaryota; Metazoa; Chordata; Mammalia; Artiodactyla; Bovidae.
AGCUUCGGGGCUGAUCGCCUCUCUGUCCCUCCUUACAUCUGCUGUAAUAUCAGUGUAAACAGCUGUCUCCCUCUCUGCAGGCUGCAGCUGCGUCCUCAUUUUCCUGCCCCAGACCCCCACCUGGCUGAGUGGGAGAUGCCAGGAACUUCAGAACACCCUGAACAUGUUCCUGAAGCAGCUUCUUAGAGGCUCACUGGCAUCCAUCCUGAGAGGUCCAUGCCGAUGUCACUGGUUAGGAAACUCCUGGAAAAUACCACACACCCCACACUCAGCCGGAAAGGGGUGCGGAGCAUGGAAACGCACAUCAGGAGGCUGCCGCCCAGAGCUUGGAAAUGCACAUCAGGAAGCCUCCGACUUCAUUUCCCCUCCUUCGAAAGAGGGACUUCUCUCGGUGAUCUGCAUGGCUCCUCCACGGCCACAUCUGGAGGGUUUGAGGGAUGGCCUCCUAUUCCAUGAUCAUGAACAGGGGACUGGAAUGAAUGAGAUCUUAUAUGAACUCUUAACGGGGAGGAAGAGGAUCAGGCUUCCUGGACGUGAUGUACAAGGCUCAUGUGUACUGCAGUGGAAGUGCAGAGUUGUAACCGCUGGACCCCCAGGGAAGUUCCAGUGCGUGCUUUUCUUUGUGUGAGUUCUAGUUCAAGGUCAUGGGAUGAGAACCAAAUCAAUAGGAUUUCCACUCAAACAGCUCCUUCCAUAAGUGCUGUUUUUAAUCAUUUUUCUUCAUGUUAUGAUGGUAUAAAUAUUAUUUAAAAACCUAUUUAAUAUGCUGAUUAUUUCCUUACAUAGCUGGGAGAGGACUAUGCUUGGAAACGUAACUUCUAAGCCUAUUUCUGCCUUGUUAUAAUGGAGAUAGUACCAAGUAUUUCCCAAGAGUGCUGGCAGUGAAAUUUUAAAAAUCUAUAAAUCACUCGGCAUAGGGUAAAUUCUAUGUAGUAAAUGCCCUAGAAAUAUAUUAGUAUU